UGAAGGAAUAUUGACCCCUUAAGGACACAUGACAUGUCAUGAUUCCCUUUUAUUCCAGAAAUCUGGUCCUUAAGGGGUUAAACAAUUAAUCUGUCAGUAUUUCAGAACUGCUUGCAAAACAUAACUGAAAGGAAGUCACAAGCUAUGACAGUUUCUAUGUAUCAGGAAAUGCCUAACCACAAUGUAUAUGUAAUAUUUUGUAAGAUUAGAUUAUUGAAUGUAACAGCAGAAACUGCUUCCUCUUUUAUGUAUCUUGUGUAACCUUUUUGUAACCUUUUUGUAACCUUUUGUAACCAAUAUUCGUGACAAAUAUUGUAUAAAUACAGAGCAUUUUGAAUACAUUGUCAGAAGAUUAUGGAAAGCAAAGAGUGUGUGUCUGGUUAAUACGCUUCCAUAAAAAUCUUCCCUGAAUAUUCAGCUGACAAUCGAGGGUUGGAGAAUAGUGACCAGAGGGACCGAGUCACCAGAGUAGCAGAUUUACCUUUCAGCUUGGUGUCAGAAAGUGGGAUUGUAGCCAAAACCAUUUUGGGUGAGUAGUAAUUCCUUGUGUCUAUCUUGACGCCCUGAAUCUAUGAUCCCCAUGGUUUUGUAAGUCUACAUCAUUUUAGGAAAGGUUAUUUAGUAUAUGUGUUUUCUGUGACUCAGUUUUACAUAAGGUCCCGUUAAAUUAGUCUAGUAAGGGAACUAGACAGAGAGAUAUAUGUAUUUCUAGUAAGUGAACUAGAGAAGGUCUAAUAAGAGAAUUAGACAGAUAAAAGGAAGUCUAUAAAGUGAUAUAGACAGAGAAUUUAGUAUAUAAGUGAAUAUACUACGAUAGUGUGCACAGAGUUUCAGGUUCACCUUGUCCACCCUCUAACUGUCAUUAGUUAAGUCUGGUUGUGAGUGUGAAUAAGUGUUUGAAAGAUUUGUCCUAGGAAUGGGAAAUUACCAUGCAAGAAUAUAAAGUAGUUAACUUUUCUUGUUCAUAUGUAUUUUAUGCUUAAAUAAGGUUUAUAAUCAUUAAGUACUGACUGUAAGGAUAUGAAAUAGUUAAACUCUUUUUGCUUUAUAUGCUAGCCCUGAAAAUAUACUCACUGAGAAUCUUGUUAAAGCACAUUUGUAGUGUCCAUGUCUUUAUUGCAAACAAUGAUUCUCCAUCAAUUGGGUGAUUGUUUAUACUGGGGACACACUUUGGUAAGUUAGUAGUGUGUCCACCCUGAGUCAGCAGUAUGGGAAAUGUAAGUUCUGGUCCUGAGUGACCAAUAUAUAUACAUAUAUAUAUGAUAGCAGUACUGUAUAUUAGACAAGAACUGACUCGCAGGUUGUACCUAAUAGACCUACUUAAAUCUUUUGUUUUAUUCUUUCUGUUGCAUAGAAGUAUAAGUUUAUUACUCUGUUUUAUUGCAAGUUAUUUCACAUGGGAUCUGUGUGCCUGGUAUGAUUGUUACUUUAAUACCAUAAGCCCACUACACUUUCUAUGAGAGUGGGAUAGUGUAAAUGUGUUACAUUGUUUGCAUGAUGAGCUCAGUAUUUUUAUAACUGAGACAAAAAGUCAUUUCAUUAGUAUUUGAAAGUUAAUUCCCCAUAUGGGAUUGAUUGUAUAGAAACACCAAUCAGCACAUCUUCCCUGCCCUGUGUGUUUGUUGCAAAGGAUCCAUACCGUUAAUAUGAUUUUUGUUUGUAAAUAAGAGCAACAUUUACAUUUUCAGCGGUCCAACACAUGCUUCAUUUUGCGCUGUAAACUAACCUUUUUAUUGCAACAGAUUCCUUUUAAAUGAUCCAGUGUAAUAACUACUGCAUAUGUUUUGUGUCUUCUAUGUCUCACAUUAUAUGUGUUCUGUUCUUUUAAAUUGUGGUAUAUAGCCUGGAUCAGAGAUUAUGGACAAAGGUUUCUACCUGUUUUACUAAGGCUCUUGGAGACUGACCGGUCUAAGGUUUGCCAUGCCUUUUAAACAUGGUAUAGAAUAAUUUUUUUUAAGUCUCUGAGAGUUCUGUAAGAUUCUGGUGAAACCAUGUCUGUGUAAUCUGGUCCAAAUGUUUGCUCAAUUUCUAUAAGAUUUAAGUUGAUGCAGUAUCAUCUCAGAUUAGUUAAUGGAAGUUUCAUACAAAUAUUUGAGUUAUGAGCGCGCUAUAUAAAUGCAUCCUUUCUCUAUAUACAAUACUAUAGUAGAUUAAAGUAAUGAAGUUAAUAAGAAUUAAAAAAAAAAAAAAGUAUACAUAAGAAUCCCUAAAAUAAAUCUAAUAUAAACUAAAAUUGGUAUACCUUACAAUAAUAUGUUCUGAGUACAGCUGUUAACUGUUUAUUCUGUGUAAAUGGUGAUUGUGAUAAUGUGUGAAGUGUGCAGCUUACCUGGAAAGUGGUUUAAUUUAUAUGUUGCUGUGUUGUUUUAAAUUAUAUGUGAAUCAGUUUGUCUCAGUUUAGUGAUACUGAUACAAAUGCCAGCCAAAUAACCCAGCAAAUAACGGUUUUAUUAGCUGUUGAAUACUAGCAUUCUGGCCAAGAAUAGUUGGAGUAGUUCUAUGAGCUCAGAGAGGCUCUGUGUUGUGGUCUGAUAUAGCUAUAUGGGAAUGGAGAUUUGGAGGUGUUAGUUUAAGACUGCUUUCAUAUUGUGUCUACCCGUGUUUCCUAGGAGGGACACAGAGUGUGUAGUUGUGUGCUCAUGAAUGUGUUUUCUGUAUUGGCAUAUCUGUUGGGUACCCGAUACGUGUAUCUACUACGUCUGUUUUGUGAGAUGUCUGUUUUGUGAGAUGACAUGUAAUAUUACAUUGAAUGCUGAGUAUGAGUUAUAUGGUUUGAAAUGAAUUGGUGUGUUAUGUGUUUUAUGUAUUUUAUUGUCCAUUGUGUAGGAGUUUAACUAGCAGAGUGAUUUGCAUAUCAUUAACACAAGCAUUUAGUGUUUUUACAAAAGGUGAAAUGCUGUCCAGCCGGCUAGAAUGAAACAAUUGUAUGCUAUCGCUCCUGGAGCAAGAAAAGCGCUUGUUACAUCCCACGUGAAAGGGGCCCCGUAAACUUCUGCUGUUCAAAUCGUGGCUCCACAUUUCCAUUUGCAAACUGAUUAAUCCUGAAAGUCAUUCUUUUACUGAUAAAAAGGAUUGAAUGGACAAGAUGUCUCUCCCUCAUAAAGGAGUUCUAAUAGGGGAGUAUUGUCCAGCUCAGAGUUAACUCUACUUUUAAAGUAUAUUGCAUUGUUUGUGUCAAAGUAAGAUUCAUCUAGUAUGCCACCUUGAUUAUGGGGUAAUAAUAAAAUGGUAUUUUAAUGGAGAUUAGACAAUUUCUGAAAUUUAUAAGUGAGGUAAUUUUAAUCUCCUAAACU
Non-coding RNA from Pelobates cultripes (western spadefoot toad), 3293 nucleotides. Lineage: Eukaryota; Metazoa; Chordata; Amphibia; Anura; Pelobatidae. The record is from the annotation of a GenBank genome assembly.